CCCUUAGAUGUUCUGGGCCGCACGCGCGCUACACUGAUGCAUUCAACGAGCAUAUAACCUUGGCCGAGAGGCCUGGGCAAUCUUGUUAACGUGCAUCGUGAUAGGGAUAGAUUAUUGCAAUUAUUAAUCUUGAACGAGGAAUUCCUAGUAAACGCAGAUCAUCAAUCUGCAUUGAUUACGUCCCUGCCCUUUGUACACACCGCCCGUCGCACCUACCGAUUGAAUGGUCCGGUGAAGCCUCGGGAUUGCGGUUUAGUUCCUUUAUUGGUACUUUACUGUGAGAACUUGUCUAAACCUUAUCAUUUAGAGGAAGGUGAAGUCGUAACA
This 327-nucleotide ribosomal RNA is filed under the name uncultured eukaryote. Its description in RNAcentral is "partial 18S ribosomal RNA". It matches the Rfam family "Eukaryotic small subunit ribosomal RNA", at positions 1470 to 1796 of the family's 1831-position model. The record is from RNAcentral.